Strigops habroptila (Kakapo) is the source of this 4917-nucleotide long non-coding RNA. Ensembl lists it as uncharacterized. The record is from Ensembl. NCBI's taxonomy places the organism in Eukaryota, Metazoa, Chordata, Aves, Psittaciformes, Psittacidae.
UCGUGGCUUGGGCACAGCCGCCUGAGAGCUGCGGCUGGGCGAGGGGCGAGCAGGAGAGGCCGGGCUCGGUCGGAGGAAGGUGUGAGCUAGGCUAGAGCAGAGGGAGAAAAAAACCAAGCCCAAAAACAAAACCAAAAAAUAUUAAUAAUAAGGCUGCCCCUUGAGCUGAUAUGUUGAGAGGAGGCUGGAGCUGGAAGAGCAACUGAAACAAACUUCGAUUCACAAAGGUUUCUACUGGCACAGCUCCCAUCUUAGCCAGGGGAAGGUGAAGGCUGGAAUGGAAAGAAAAGAAAUAAAGCAAAAAACCAACCAAACAAAAAGCCAACAACCCCCCAAAAAAACCAAAACCACAAGAGAACCAAACACAAUACCUCAAUGAAACACACAAACCUCCUGUUACUAUUUUGUGUGUCAAGGCAGAAUAUUUCCAAAUAUGAUCAAGGUUGUUGGUGUUUUUUUUUUUUUUUAAAGGUUAUUAAAAAAAUCCUUUAAAUGCUGCAAUUCUGGAAUUAUUUCUCUUGCACUAAAAGUUCCCAGGGUGGCUUUUCCUUAUGGCAUUCGAGAAUCAUCCCACUUCAUCUCUCACCUGAAUCUUGUCAUCUGUGCCAUCUUGAAGUGAUCUGUGAACAAUGCUGGUCCCUUGGACAGCCCAAGCUGGUCAAUCAGGCAGAACAGACUAUGCAAAUGGAAUGGAAAGGCGAAGCGAUGAAGAACAGUGGCCCCCAUUGUCUUGGGCAUUUCAAAGCGAAGCCCAGCUGCAGCAGGCGUUGCUGUCUCCGGACCCUUGGUUGCUACUCUAAUGUCAUCAUUGCAAAACAUCACAUUUUGAAAACUCUACAGUCUGAAUGCAUGAGCAGCCCUCCACAAAGAUUUCACUUUGCCGUGACAUCUCUCGAAGUCACCCAAAAAAAGGAAAAAAAGGAAAAAAAACCGCCAGCCAACAACCAGUGGGGACUGUGAUCCCAGCCACAUUGCCAGCUCACAUCCCUCGGUCCCUUUCCCUGCGCUCCCAAUAACUGUGGUGCAGCUGAUGCUAAAUGCCUUUUGCAACCUUUUGGUAAAUGCCUCUCCUUUCUUGUUGUUUUUAGAGUCAAAUUGGAAGAUGAUCUAAGUUGCAUUUAACUUAUUUUCUGUCAUGUCUCUUCCAGACGCUCUAAUGAGCUAAUGCCGAGGAGCAGGCAGUGAAGUAUUUAUUCACAGUUGCUUCCAAAACUUCAGAUAUGUGGGGCUUUCAAAGAGUCAGACAGUGCCUUUGCAAGUGGUUAAACCAGCAGCUAAGCUGGGUAUUUACAGCCCGUUAGGAGUUUUUUUGAAUACUUGGUUUCUUAAUACACUCAUGCUGUUGCUGCUUCCGAAUAUUGUUGCCAGCCCUGCGCCAGCUCUGCUUCCCAGUACUGGUCCCAAAGUUAGCCCCACCAUGAGAAACCAGCUUUCACUGCAGCAAAGCUGGGGGCUGUUGGAUAAUUAAUAUGUGUUUUCAAGGUACUAAAUCAUUGUCCACGUUUCACUUAUCGUUCCUUUUAAUUUUCUUUUGUUCAUAGGUGAUAUUUGUGAUCACCAUGUGCUGAGCAGAGGAAACUCCCCUGUCUUCCACCCUCAUGCCCAGAGCCUGUGCUCAAGGAGCUAAGGUCUCUGCCAUCCGUAUCUUAAAAUGCUGGGGAUUACCUUUCCCUCUUCCCCAUCUCUUAUCUCACAGGAAUUAGUGAAUCCAAAGCUUCUUCUCCAACUUAUUGUAGUUAGCCUACAAAGAUGGAUAAUGUCAUAGCCAGCCUCAGAUGCUGCCUAGUUCAUAGACGGAGCAGUCACACAUUUUAGUGGUCACUCUUGAGUGCUGACUAUGCUCAGUGUUCAUGCAGGAACAGAGAAGAAAGUUUCAUUGGACUAAGAGAGCUGAGUUAAGAAACUCUUAAUUACAUUCUUUACAGGACCAAGAAUAAUUCCGUGCUUCUUUCCUGCUCCUUUUGCUUGGGUAAUGCAUUCUGUAACAAUGUCACAUAGAUUACAAAGGAAGCAAAGAAUAGAAUUAUUUAAAACUAAAUAAUUAUCCACUGCAUUUUGAUUAGCUUCCUAAAUUUAAGUUUGUCCCUUUCAAAAUGCAAUGUGUCAGUAAGAAGGAAAAAAUCAGAGUAACAAACAAAAGCAAAGAGAGGUUGAAGUGAAUGGGGCAAAUAAAUUACUGCAUAGGUGCCAUUUCAUCUUCUGGUUGGAAGUUUCUUUUCCCUUGCCAGAGAGAAUUUUCCUAGGACAGGUACUGGGUUGAAAGAAAACCAGUUUCCAACUACAUCAGCCUCUUGGUCAUAUGAGUAACAGCAGGAAUGCAGACUGCUUCAUACAAAGGUUUCAAUAUAGCUGAUACCUACUGUAAGCACCCUUCCCUGCCAGGUAUUUGUUAGCAGAUGCCCCCAAGACUCUUUCUUUUAUCAGUUCAUCUGAUAGGAGAAAAACUUCACCUACUAGACAAAUGGAUCCCUCAAAAUCUAUGCUCUAGGAGGUCUUGCACAUGCUUUAGGUCCCCUCCAGGCGCCUCACUUGCUAACCUGAAUGCAGAAAUCCAGAGGAAAAACAAUGUUGUGAAGCCAGUGCCUGCACAGAGGACAACAGCAAUGCACAUGGCCAGGGGCCAAAUGCCCUGUUGCUGUACAUGGGUGUAUUUCAUCUGGAGAUACCUCUUACUUCCAGAAAGAGGUUAUGAAGGAGGAAGAUGCAGUGGCUUUCCAAGAGGAGCAGCUGCUCCUCGUGCUUCCCGUGGAGGUGUUGCCAAGGGGCUAAGCAGAGGUGAGGGUCCUCUCUGCGGACACAGCAGCUCCCACACAAUGGUGGGAUGGAUGAUAUCCUCAGGGCCCAGGCCAUGGGAAGGGGACAGGGGCCCACAAGGUCAGUCCACCACCCUUGGCCCAGACAUGUCCCUCUCCUAGAGCAGCCUGUGUUGCCAGCUGAACCUCAUCCCUUCACAGCAGCCUUCCAGCCUCACGCCCAGGGGUUGAGAGACCAGAGGUGCGUUAGCCACCCCUCACUCAGGCCUGCUGCCCCUCCAUAGCACCAAACAAUUUCCUGUCACUCUAGGUUUACAGACUUGGCUCUGCCAGGAGGGAAAUGGCCCCAAAUGUUCCCCUUGGGUAGGGUGCUGGGAUAACCAGGGACAACCUCCUUUCCCAGCGGUCCCAAGUCCCCCUGCCAACGGAAGCUGAUUGGAAACAAGAGCAGCUUCUCCCUUGAGGACAUGAACUUUGCUUUUCACUCACCGCUGGAACUUCUGCCCCUUUCCCCCACCAGCCCAAAUCCUUGUACAUUCAGCCACAGUUAUCUCUGCUCGUGCACUGACUGUAUUUUUCAUGUUUAUUAUCAUCCAACCCAGUGUAAUGCCAUCUGGCACAUGCACACGUGGGGAGAAGAAAACCAUAUAUUCAGCAAAUGGAGCAUACAGGGUUUAGGUUUUGUUUUGCUUCUCUUAUUCUUCCAGUUUCCAUUUAAAAUUAUGUGGAAGGGAUAUCUGAGCAAUUCUCCCUCAUGAAAAAUGAUCAAAACUCCCAGUUAUGAGAUUAAAAAAUACAGGAGAGUGCUGAUGCCAGGAAGGGUCAGGAACAUCCCUGCUGUUGAAAUACAGUUUCUUCUUUUCCUUCUCCUGUGUUUCAUUUCACCUUGUGCUCAGAUAAGGAACACUUAAUACUUUCAUACUUUAUAUGUAUAUAUUUAAUACUUUAAAUGUUUGUGUUCACUCUUUUUACCCAGGAUUUGUUCUGGUCUUUUAAAUCAUUAUUUUACUGUGAGACACGUAUUUUAAGCAUUAUGUGAAAAACCACACUCCUCCGAAGCACUAGAGCAUUGCGAGCCACCCUGCAGUCCUCGAAACCUUUGCUAUUUUCACUGAUACAUUAAAAACUGAUAUAAAAAUAAAUCUGCAGUGUAGAUGUAAAAAAAGCAGGCAGCGUUUUCAGUGAAAGCUAGCACCUAUCGCAUUGCCACCUUAAUUCAAAGAUAGUUUUGUAACAAAGUUGUGUAAUCAAACCAUUUUUCCUCCCUGAUAAUUCAUACUGUAAGAUUAUUAGUGGAGUUGUCCAUGGAAAAGGUACUACAAAAUUUAUUAUAUUACUUGAUUAAUUUUCUUUCAAUUUUUACUUUAAUUUUGUCUAAUUACUGUAUUGUGAUCUAAGUCAGCAUUCUUAAAUUAACUAUCAACUUAAAUUUUGAAGAAACUCUACAAGUGCAUGAUAAUGAUGAAAUUUAAAUUACUGUCGAUUUAUGUGUAAUGUCUACAUCAUGGAAAAGCAAUCCUUCAGGUAUUUUAAUUUCAUUUGCAUAUGUAGCAUUGUGUCUUUCCUGUUUCAUUUGUAAGAGUAGAAUACUUUGUCAUUUCCAAACUAUAAAAAUACUACUAAAAUAACCUGUUUGGGAUAUACAGAUAUAUAUUCCCUAAAUUGAACUAUGGUUUUGAUGAAAAUAUGAAAGAAAAUAGUUCUUGAGACUAGAUUGUUGGUCACCCAGAUUUGUUCAUAUUUGUUCAGAAAAGUAUCUUGUUUUACAGGUAGAUGCAGAAAGGUAAAACUGUUCUCAGAUCCUGCUAAAAUAAAGACAGACAUUUCAAUGCAAUUCAUACAGUGUCUGUAUGUUGAGUUAGAUUCUGGUCUCACAUCUGUUUAAAAAUCAAUAUAUUCUUUGCUCAAGCCCUGAUCCAAGGCUGAAUGAUGUCACUGUAAUGACUUCAAGUGGGCUGUGGAUCAAGGCCUUUUACACCACCGUUCCUUAUGCCACUAGUCUGAGAAAGGCUAUUUUUACCACGUCUUUCUUUUCCUGUGAAAUCAGAUCAUUUGGAAUGAAUUAAAAAUGCCUGAUCAGAGAUGCUCUGGCUUACUUUUUAUGACAAUACUGUUCAUUUUAAAUAUUUCCUACAAAUGCAAUUUGAUAGCAAAAUAAAAGUUU